CUGCGAGUGCGCUGAGAGAAACGGAGCCAGGCAGACAGAGGAGAGUUGAAGUUUGACCAGGAUGGUGCAUUUUUGGUACGAGACUGCUCCACCAACAGCAACUUUGAACCUUUGGUAUCUUUGUGUAUCAUGAGAAGAAGGUUAACAACGUCAAAAUUCGGUUUGUCGAGAGCACAAAAAAGUACGCACUGGGCACAGGAUAUCGUUCAAAUGAUAUGUUUGACUCUGUGGCGGACAUCAUCAAGUUCCACUCCAUAUUUCCAAUAACACUUGUCAGUGGGAGAACCGCGUUGGGAAACAAGUACCCAGACAACUGUGUGCUGACAUUUCCUAUAACAAAAGGGGAUGUUGAACGGUUGCUACAAUAACAUGUGAACCUUGCCAAAAAAGAUUUGUCAAUGUGUUUCUUGUGUCAUGUGUGUUCACAGUUCCACAAAAACUGUAGCGCUGUCAUUCUGAGCAAUUUGGGGUGGAUGGAUUUUGUAAAAGAAAAAUAUAUAUGUUGAUCAGAAGUACCUAUAUCUUCUGGUUAUUUUGAUAAUAAUGUGCUAAUGGUUUUUAAAUUAAUUACAUAGACAAGUGGUUCUCAAAUUCUUUGGGUCCAGUGACACAAAAUCUCCUAUAAUCCUAAUAUCGAUUUGGCUGGUUCUGCCACAGCAUUCGAAAAUCUCCCCACACCUGCUAGCUACCAGGCUAAUAAACUAGCAAGUGAUUUCAUUGUUGCAGUGAGUCACAAUCAUAGCAGUUCCUCCUGUUCCUCCAUAAUGUGGUAGCAAUUACUGGAUAUAAUAUGUUUUUGUUAUUGAAUCAAAUUGUCCUCAAUCUGUAAAAUGCACUUUUUAAUGAUCUAGCGCAAUUUAAUGAAUUAUUUUACAGAUCCCUUGAGGGUCCCCGGACCCGAUUAGAGACCCACUUCUCUCUGACAGAUAAUAGUGAUCUACCCUAAUUAUCCUAAUUUAAUGUCUUCAAAUUGUAUAUUUUGUAGGAACAAUCUAAAAUAAAAAGUCUGUAACUGUACAAUUAUACAAACCAAA
This is a long non-coding RNA of Pelmatolapia mariae (spotted tilapia), 1034 nucleotides long. RefSeq lists it as uncharacterized. Lineage: Eukaryota; Metazoa; Chordata; Actinopteri; Cichliformes; Cichlidae. The transcript is spliced from 3 exons. The record is from RefSeq and is a predicted model, not a curated record.